This 1445-nucleotide ribosomal RNA is filed under the name uncultured organism. RNAcentral describes it as "16S ribosomal RNA". It matches the Rfam family "Bacterial small subunit ribosomal RNA". The record is from RNAcentral.
GAUGAACGCUAGCUACAGGCUUAACACAUGCAAGUCGAGGGUCAGCAUUUCAGUUUGCUUGCAAACUGGAGAUGGCGACCGGCGCACGGGUGAGUAACACGUAUCCAACCUGCCGAUAACUCGGGGAUAGCCUUUCGAAAGAAAGAUUAAUACCCGAUGGUAUAAUCAGACCGCAUGGUCUUGUUAUUAAAGAAUUUCGGUUAUCGAUGGGGAUGCGUUCCAUUAGGCAGUUGGUGAGGUAACGGCUCACCAAACCUUCGAUGGAUAGGGGUUCUGAGAGGAAGGUCCCCCACAUUGGAACUGAGACACGGUCCAAACUCCUACGGGAGGCAGCAGUGAGGAAUAUUGGUCAAUGGGCGCAGGCCUGAACCAGCCAAGUAGCGUGAAGGAUGACUGCCCUAUGGGUUGUAAACUUCUUUUAUAUGGGAAUAAAGUUUUCCACGUGUGGGAUUUUGUAUGUACCAUAUGAAUAAGGAUCGGCUAACUCCGUGCCAGCAGCCGCGGUAAUACGGAGGAUCCGAGCGUUAUCCGGAUUUAUUGGGUUUAAAGGGAGCGUAGGUGGACAGUUAAGUCAGUUGUGAAAGUUUGCGGCUCAACCGUAAAAUUGCAGUUGAUACUGGCUGUCUUGAGUACAGUAGAGGUGGGCGGAAUUCGUGGUGUAGCGGUGAAAUGCUUAGAUAUCACGAAGAACUCCGAUUGCGAAGGCAGCUCACUGGGACUGCAAACUGACACUGAUGCUCGAAAGUGUGGGUAUCAAACAGGAUUAGAUACCCUGGUAGUCCACACAGUAAACGAUGAAUACUCGCUGUUUGCGAUAUACAGUAAGCGGCCAAGCGAAAGCAUUAAGUAUUCCACCUGGGGAGUACGCCGGCAACGGUGAAACUCAAAGGAAUUGACGGGGGCCCGCACAAGCGGAGGAACAUGUGGUUUAAUUCGAUGAUACGCGAGGAACCUUACCCGGGCUUAAAUUGCAUUUGAAUAUAUUGGAAACAGUAUAGCCGUAAGGCAAAUGUGAAGGUGCUGCAUGGUUGUCGUCAGCUCGUGCCGUGAGGUGUCGGCUUAAGUGCCAUAACGAGCGCAACCCUUAUCUUUAGUUACUAACAGGUCAUGCUGAGGACUCUAGAGAGACUGCCGUCGUAAGAUGUGAGGAAGGUGGGGAUGACGUCAAAUCAGCACGGCCCUUACGUCCGGGGCUACACACGUGUUACAAUGGGGGGUACAGAAGGCAGCUACCUGGUGACAGGAUGCUAAUCCCAAAAGCCUCUCUCAGUUCGGAUCGAAGUCUGCAACCCGACUUCGUGAAGCUGGAUUCGCUAGUAAUCGCGCAUCAGCCAUGGCGCGGUGAAUACGUUCCCGGGCCUUGUACACACCGCCCGUCAAGCCAUGAAAGCCGGGGGUACCUGAAGUACGUAACCGCAAGGAGCGUCCUAGGGUAAAACUGGUAA